GUAGGGAUCUCCUUCCGAAAAGAAAAAUAUUUCUUCUUUGAAAUGAGCGUUUUGGCGGCGGACAUAUCGAAGCAUACGGGACAUUACUGCCGCCUAUUGGACUGGAGUGUGAGAAAGCGAGCAGUGCCGAAUGUGCAUUUAUACAGUUAAUACGGAUAUUUCCCCAAAAUGUGUAUAAGAUAUUGAUAAAAAUAAUUUGUACAACAGGUUAAUCUUUUAAAUUUCGUUGUUAGAACGAAUUCAGCACUGGAAUGUGACUGUUAUGUAGUUGCUUGGACUUUAUUUCUCUCUCAAACACUCAUGGAAACAGCUUAAAUCUCUUUUAGAUGAAACAUUGACCAACAGGGCCAUUUCAACAUGGAAAGUAUGGCGUGCUUGAACAUGAUGUAGGGCCAUCCUUUAUCGACCGCACGUGCAGCAGCUCAUGAUUCAGGUUCCAGUUACUGGUAGCCAUUACACUCAAUUGUGCUUUCAUUUGCAGCAGUUCUUGCCAAGGUUAGAAACUAUACACAGACAGAGCUAUCUUCAGGACCGCUCUUUCCAUAUGGGAUGCCUCUGACAGCAGUUUGGUGCUCAAAAAAUUAUUGCACAUCAUUAUUAUUAUUAUUAUUCUUGAAUAUACAAUUUCUUUUUUGUAUGUGCAGUGAGUCCAACUAAAUAAGCAUCUUUAAGGCUUUGUUCUGAUCUGAUGUUUUUAAAGUAUGGUGGUGGUUAUAUAUGAUGCAUGAAAAAUACCAUUACUUAUAUCAGAAUAAGUUUAGUUUGACUUGUAUCUCUCAUUCCCAAUUUGGAACACGGUGGCGUGAAGAGGCUGAAGCCGGGUCAGAGGAAAUGCGAACUCACACUGGGCCCAAACAUAGCACACAAUAAUCUCUCUCUGUCCAAGGACAACAGGAGACAGAGGUAUUGGAGAAGCUUCCUUACCCUGACCAUCUACAGCGAUUUUGCCACUGGAAACUGGUUUUGUGUAGAGAAGGUUUGACUGAGUGCAAAGGAUGGGUUAAUGUUGGAGUGGCACGCAGAGCCAUCAGAAGGAAAGGCCAGGAUGACGACUGCUGGAUCGGACAGAAUGACAAGUCCUGGGGUCUGUUAUGUUGUGAUAAGUUCUCUGCUUGUCACAAAAACCGAAGGGUAGUCAUACCCGUCCAGUCACGCUUUGACGCAGGCAGAGUAGCAGUGUAUCUGGACUGGCCUGCUGGCAUUCUGUCCUUCUACAAAGUGUCAUCCGACACACCGAUCCACCUCCACAGCUUCCACUGCACAGUCACUGAACCUCUCUAUCCUGCGUUUGGGAUUGAGUUAAAGUGUCAAUCAUCAGUUUCUCUGUGUCAGUUAAUAUCGGGAUGCUUUAACAGAACAGGACCACUGUUGAUGUUGUUAGUAAUUUCUGUGAUUUCCUACUAUGACAAUAAAACUUUGAAGAGGGUCUGCAACUGUUCACAGUCUUGUUUAAGUUCUCAAAGUCAAAUUCUACUUUUAACUGUUUUGGCACCGGCAUAUUUCUAAUAGUAAUGUACUAAAUUAAGAUAAGAUGAACUUUAUUGAUCCCACAGUGGGGAAAUUCACUUGCUGUGGCAGCUCACAAUUAAAUUAAAAGACACCUAAUAGUCUAAAAGCACCCAAAAUCAGUUUAAAUAGCGGUGACUAAAGCCAUGUUCAAUAGCAAUGAGCAAAAAAAGGAAAAAAAAAAAGCAAUUUCUAAAUAAAUUCAUCUGGUCACUGUUUGGUUUACAAAGGAAUUUUGGUUUUGAGUCAGCUCUCUAGCAGAGCUAUGAAACCUGCUGGAGAGACAACAAAAACCAGGCCACAUUUGUCAUGCCAAAGCAAAUGGAUUUUAUUUACACAUCUAGUUUGGAUAAGAUGGCCACCCAUAGUUCCAUGUGCAGUACACAGGUAAAAGAAAGUGAACACGUGAGUUGUGACAAACAUUAUGCUUAAUAUUAUUACUCCAGGUAUAUACUUUGGCUCUGACACUUUCAAGUGUGCUAUAUAUUAUUGACUGCAUAUUAUAAUCUACAACACAUACUUUAUUUCCUUAUGUCAAAACUCUGAAAAGAGACUUUUUUUUAAAUAACUGGAAUGACUUGCACAUAAAUAGUAACUAGAUUCUGUACAACAUUUACAAUGUAUGAAAUCACAAAAACUGUGUCAUAAAGUAAAAUAUAAAAAAAUGUAAAAAAGAAAAAAAGAAAAAAGAAAAACCUCACAAUGGCAACAGUGGACAAAAUCAUAGCAGAGUGCUUAAGUAAUAUUUUUCAUACCUCGUAUGUAAAUCCACAAAACCUGUGUAAGAUCAAGCAGAUAAACUAUGAUUAAAAUCACUAGGUGAACAAUUUGUGCAAUGAAGCAAAACCUUUGUUAGUAACUUAAUACAGUGCUCACAAUACUGCUCUCCUCAUUCUGACACACCACUCCGGUGCGUUCUUAUGUAGGUCACACUGUGGGCGUACGUAUGUGAGACAAAAUAUUAGGCUAAGUAUAUAUUUAGGUUAAAUUAUAUGAAGGUACACUAAUUUACAACAUAGGUAGAAUAAAGUGACUCCCACAGACA
This is a long non-coding RNA of Scatophagus argus, 2551 nucleotides long. RefSeq lists it as uncharacterized. The record is from RefSeq and is a predicted model, not a curated record. The transcript is spliced from 4 exons. NCBI's taxonomy places the organism in Eukaryota, Metazoa, Chordata, Actinopteri, Scatophagidae.